This 446-nucleotide RNase P RNA is filed under the name Sphingobacteriales bacterium. Its description in RNAcentral is "RNase P RNA component class A". It matches the Rfam family "Bacterial RNase P class A". Rfam says of the family: Ribonuclease P (RNase P) is a ubiquitous endoribonuclease, found in archaea, bacteria and eukarya as well as chloroplasts and mitochondria. Lineage: Bacteria; Pseudomonadati; Bacteroidota; Sphingobacteriia; Sphingobacteriales. The record is from RNAcentral.
ACUGCAGGCCGCGCUAUCGAUUCCCGCUUCGGUGGGGGUAGGAAAGUCCGGACAGCACAGAGCAGCGCAUCCCGCUAACGGCGGGACAUCCUUCGCCACAGGGCGGAGGGUCGAGCCAGUGCCACAGAAAAUUACGGCCACCGCCCGCCGCAGCCUUGGCGCAGGCGGGCUAGUUAAGGGAAACCUUAGUGGUUACGGUGAAAACGUGGGGUAAGAGCCCACGGUCGGGCAUCGGAAGGUGUUCUUCGGGUAAACCUUGCGCGCUGAAAUGCCAUGUAUAGGAAUCUCCAACGGCUGCUCGCUGUUGUUCCGCAAGGAACGGGUUCCAGGGUAGGCAGCUAGAGGCGUUCAGCAAUGGACGUCCCAGAUAAAUGAUAGCGGCUGACCGCCUUCGCGAAAGCUAAGGCGGUGAGACACAGAAUCCGGCUUACAGGCCUGCAGUAUUU